This 742-nucleotide ribosomal RNA is filed under the name uncultured bacterium. Its description in RNAcentral is "bacterial SSU rRNA". It matches the Rfam family "Bacterial small subunit ribosomal RNA", at positions 9 to 765 of the family's 1533-position model. The record is from RNAcentral.
UAGUUUGAUCCUGGCUCAGGACAAACGCUGGCGGGGUGCAUGAGACAUGCAAGUCGAACGGGGUGCCAUCGGGCUUGCUCGAUGGCUACCUAGUGGCGGACGGCUGAGUAACGCGUAGGUGACCUACCCGGAAGUGGGGAAUAACUGCCCGAAAGGGUGGCUAAUACCGCAUGUGGUCGGCGAUUCGAUUCGCCGUCCAAAGGAGAAAUCCGCUUCCGGCGGGGCCUGCGUCCGAUUAGCUAGUUGGUGGGGUAACGGCUCACCAAGGCGACGAUCGGUAGCUGGUCUGAGAGGAUGAUCAGCCAGACUGGGACUGAGAACGGCCCAGACUCCUACGGGAGGCAGCAGUCGGGAAUUUUGCCCAAUGGACGAAAGUCUGAGGCAGCAACUCCGCGUGAGGGAUGAAGGCUCUCGGGUCGUAAACCUCUUUUCUCAGGGAAGAUCCAAGACGGUACCUGAGGAAUAAGCGACGGCUAACUACGUGCCAGCAGCCGCGGUAAUACGUAGGUCGCAAGCGUUGUCCGGAUUUACUGGGCGUAAAGAGCGCGCAGGCGGCUGGUCAAGUCCGAUGUGAAAUCUCCCGGCUCAACUGGGAAACUGCAUCGGAAACUGAUCGGCUUGAAGGUGGGAGAGGGUAGUGGAAUUCCCGGUGUAGUGGUGAAAUGCGUAGAUAUCGGGAGGAACACCAGUGGCGAAGGCGACUACCUGGCCCAUUCUUGACGCUGAGGCGCGAAAGCUAGGG